Molecule: long non-coding RNA, 205 nt
Organism: Arabidopsis thaliana (thale cress)
Lineage: Eukaryota; Viridiplantae; Streptophyta; Magnoliopsida; Brassicales; Brassicaceae
Product: other RNA
Exons: 1
Source: RefSeq
UCGACAACACAUUCUGCACAGCAUCUGAACAAAAGAUAGAGGUAAGUUUAGGGAAAACAAUGGAAAUACCAGUCAUUGUCAAUCAAAAUCAAACUUUUGUGAGUCAUACAUUAUUUGUAACUAAUGUCUAUUUUGUGUUAAUAGACAUAAGAAGAUGAAACAGAAGCGAUAAUGCAACUCACAAGAAAAGCCGAUUGCAGUCAAG